AGGAACCCAGAUUGCAAGAUUAAGGUGUUUUCAUAAAGCCAUGAAAAAAUGUCCCAAUUUUUCUUUGAUUCUUUUCACACCUCACAGAAUUCAACGCCUGCUAGAGAGAUGCUUGUGUUCCUAAUGCACCCCAAGUCUCAACUUUUCUUUUGAAAAACAAAAAUUUCAUUGCAUCGUUUGCAGUGUUUAAAAGUACAUCUGUAAGACAGAAUAAAAGGAAAAAUUGUUCGUGUUUGAAACAUUGAAACUCUUUGACGUUUCUUUAAAUGAUGAUGUGGCUGAAUGGAGGCGAAGAAAAGGCCUCUUCUCCCAAGGAACAGAGCCAAUUUUAUUUUCUCAGGUAAAAAUGAAGUGAUACAUCAAAAAAUGGAAGGGGUCUAGCAGAGCUUAAUUCCUGAUGGGCUAUUGUCCUUUAACUCUCAUGCAAGAAAAGCAGACUUAAGAACUCCCAGCAUUGGUCAACUGAGAAAAAAACGACACGAUUAAUAUACUCUUUCAUUUUAAAAGAUUAAAUCAUGGAAUGUCAGGUUCCCAAGCAAUAAAAAGACGCCAUUGUUCCCUCCUGAUUUUCCAAAGAUUUAAAUUUUGCAAAAUCUACUGGAAAAAUCUUCUUGGUCGAGUCAUGCAUGAGAGGGUGUAAUUAGAAGGAAAAGCUCCGGAAGAGACAUCGGCUAGGAUUUGAGAUUGUGCCAGCAUUUGAAUUUAACCAUCUAUGUAUGCCUCAAGGAAAUGGAUAACUAGAGAGGGAAAAACAACAAUUUUCUGAAAUUUCUCAUGCAGUGAGAUGAAAUGCUGCCAAUCAAGCAUAGAACCUACAUUUUCUCCUUCAUGCUGGAUUUAAUGAUAAAUUUGAAGCUACCAACUGUUGCAGGAACACAGAAUAGAGAAUCGAUGUCUGAUCUGAAAAACCAUUAUAAUCCAAUGCUGCACUACUAACCACAUGUUGCCACCAUUGUCUCAGCCACCACAGCCAGCAGAUACUUCAGUUUGAGAGAUUAGUUUACCAUUUUUAUGUCUAUCUCUAUUUUUUUUUCGUAAUUUGCAUUAAACUCAUUUAGAA
This is a long non-coding RNA of Magallana angulata, 1060 nucleotides long. RefSeq lists it as uncharacterized. The record is from RefSeq and is a predicted model, not a curated record. Lineage: Eukaryota; Metazoa; Mollusca; Bivalvia; Ostreida; Ostreidae. The transcript is spliced from 4 exons.